CCUACGGGUGACAGCAGUAGGGAAUAUUGCUCAAUGGGGGAAACCCUGACGCAGCAACGCCGCGUGGAGGAUGAAGGUUUUCGGAUUGUAAACUCCUUUUGUUAGAGAAGAUAAUGACGGUAUCUCACGAAUAAGCACCGGCUAACUCCGUGCCAGCAGCCGCGGUAAUACGGAGGGUGCAAGCGUUACUCGGAAUCACUGGGCGGAAAGAGCGCGUAGGCGGGUUAGCAAGUCAGAUGUGAAAUCCUAUGGCUUAACCAUAGAACUGCAGUUGAAACUGUUAUUCUAGAGUAUGGGAGAGGUAGGUGGAAUUCUUGGUGUAGGGGUAAAAUCCGUAGAGAUCAGGAGGAAUACU
This 355-nucleotide ribosomal RNA is filed under the name uncultured bacterium. Its description in RNAcentral is "partial 16S ribosomal RNA". It matches the Rfam family "Bacterial small subunit ribosomal RNA", at positions 338 to 710 of the family's 1533-position model. The record is from RNAcentral.